CAGUAGCCGCGGGAAUACGUAGGUGGCAAGCGUUGUCCGGAAUUAUUGGGCGUAAAGGGCUCGCAGGCGGUUUCUUAAGUCUGAUGUGAAAGCCCCCGGCUCAACCGGGGAGGGUCAUUGGAAACUGGGAAACUUGAGUGCAGAAGAGGAGAGUGGAAUUCCACGUGCAGCGGUGAAAUGCGUAGAGAUGUGGAGGAACACCAGUGGCGAAGGCGACUCUCUGGUCUGUAACUGACGCUGAUGCACGAAAGCUAGGGGAGCAAACAGGAUUAGAUACCCCUGUAGUCCCUGUCUCUUAUAC
Molecule: ribosomal RNA, 301 nt
Filed under: uncultured bacterium
Lineage: Bacteria
Description: partial 16S ribosomal RNA
Rfam family: Bacterial small subunit ribosomal RNA
Source: RNAcentral